GUGUUGUAUGAAAGGAGAGAAGAUUAGCACUCCCCUUGAUAAGGAUAAAGGGGUCUUAGUGGCCUUUCAACACACAUGGGAUUUGAGGGAGAUGGGGUUGAGUGUCUGGAAUUCAUUGUUUGA
Molecule: small nuclear RNA, 123 nt
Organism: Chiloscyllium plagiosum (whitespotted bambooshark)
Lineage: Eukaryota; Metazoa; Chordata; Chondrichthyes; Orectolobiformes; Hemiscylliidae
Source: RefSeq, a predicted model, not a curated record